Molecule: ribosomal RNA, 468 nt
Filed under: uncultured bacterium
Lineage: Bacteria
Description: partial 16S ribosomal RNA
Rfam family: Bacterial small subunit ribosomal RNA
Source: RNAcentral
GACGAACGCUGGCGGCGUGCUUAACACAUGCAAGUCGAACGGAAAGGCCCUGCUUUUGUGGGGUGCUCGAGUGGCGAACGGGUGAGUAACACGUGAGUAACCUGCCCUUGACUUUGGGAUAACUUCAGGAAACUGGGGCUAAUACCGGAUAGGAGCUCCUGCUGCAUGGUGGGGGUUGGAAAGUUUCGGCGGUUGGGGAUGGACUCGCGGCUUAUCAGCUUGUUGGUGGGGUAGUGGUUGACCAAGGCUUUGACGGGUAGCCGGCCUGGGAGGGUGACCGGCCACAUUGGGACUGAGAUACGGCCCAGACUCCUACGGGAGGCAGCAGUGGGGAAUAUUGCACAAUGGGCGGAAGCCUGAUGCAGCAACGCCGCGUGCGGGAUGACGGCCUUCGGGUUGUAAACCGCUUUCGCCUGUGACGAAGCGUGAGUGACGGUAAUGGGUAAAGAAGCACCGGCUAACUACGUG